UACGAAGGGGGCUAGCGUUGCUCGGAAUUACUGGGCGUAAAGGGCGCGUAGGCGGCUAUCUAAGUUGGGGGUGAAAUCCCGGGGCUCAACCUCGGAAUUGCCUUCAAAACUGGAUAUCUUGAGUUCGGGAGAGGUGAGUGGAACUCCGAGUGUAGAGGUGAAAUUCGUAGAUAUUCGGAAGAACACCGGUGGCGAAGGCGACUCACUGGCCCGAUACUGACGCUGAGGCGCGAAAGCGUGGGGAGCAAACCGG
Molecule: ribosomal RNA, 253 nt
Filed under: uncultured bacterium
Lineage: Bacteria
Description: partial 16S ribosomal RNA
Rfam family: Bacterial small subunit ribosomal RNA
Source: RNAcentral